This 75-nucleotide transfer RNA is filed under the name Rhodovibrio salinarum. Its description in RNAcentral is "tRNA-Val". It matches the Rfam family "tRNA". From Rfam's summary of the family: Transfer RNA (tRNA) molecules are approximately 80 nucleotides in length. Their secondary structure includes four short double-helical elements and three loops (D, anti-codon, and T loops). Further hydrogen bonds mediate the characteristic L-shaped molecular structure. tRNAs have two regions of fundamental functional importance: the anti-codon, which is responsible for specific mRNA codon recognition, and the 3' end, to which the tRNAs corresponding amino acid is attached (by aminoacyl-tRNA synthetases). tRNAs cope with the degeneracy of the genetic code in two manners: having more than one tRNA (with a specific anti-codon) for a particular amino acid; and 'wobble' base-pairing, i.e. permitting non-standard base-pairing at the 3rd anti-codon position. The record is from RNAcentral. Lineage: Bacteria; Pseudomonadati; Pseudomonadota; Alphaproteobacteria; Rhodospirillales; Rhodovibrionaceae. RNAcentral also lists the same sequence under 2 other names.
GGGCGGUUAGCUCAGCGGAAGAGCGUCUGGUUUACACCCAGAAGGUCGCUGGUUCGACCCCAGCACCGCCCACCA